CUGGAACCAAACCUGCGAUAUCUCUAAGUUGAAGAAUUGAAGUGGAAGGAACAUGCCUUGCUCCCCAUUGCCAUCACCCAUCUUCCACUAAAGGCCAAAGAUUUGUGAAGCCUAGAGAUUGACUGAAAAGUACUUCAACUCUCCAUUGAAUGCUUGAGCGCAGACCAUCUACCCGAGCGCUCGCGUGCUGCUUUCUUCAAUGAGAACACAAUAAAUUAUAUUCAAAUGGCAGUCAUGGAGGAAACUUUCCUUUCCUUCCUCAUCCACAAAGCUGAUCGAUGGGCGCUAAAGCCCCGGGGGAGCAGCAUCUGUUGUAACUCAAGGAUCCCCACUCGAGCUGAGGAUGAAAUUAACAGACGUGGAGCAGCUUGCAGCUCAACAUUUGUUCAAGUCUGGCACGUGCACACAUCAUUAGCAACUAUAUUUGAGGAGCAAGAUCAAGGAGGUGAGGAGGAGAAUGGAUCUGAUGAAAGGAAUAUUCAAGAAAGAGGAAAUUCAGAGCAUUUAGGUAAAGCUUCAUAGCUAAAAUAAAUGAACUAGAGAGCAGAGCAAACAGCCAGGGACAUUGGAUAAUUUUGCCUCUGCAACUUCCCAAACAAAGUCAUUUCAGGCGGUGAAUUCCCCAGAGCGGCUGCCUCUCUUACUUCAGCUCCAUGGGCUGUCUCUCCAUUAAAAUUCGAGGGCAAAGAUUUUUCUGUCCUGUUCACUGCUGUAAUCUGGGCUCGUAGUAGAUAAAAUUAAAUAUGCAUGGAAUAAGUUAAUGUAUACUUGCUCAAAGCUUGCCUUGACCUGAGCUAGGCAAAUAAGGUCUGAGAUGUUCUGCAGGAAUCAAAAGCAAUAUGCAUGCCAAAAGAAUGGCAUCUUCCAACGAAAACUGGUUGUUAAUUAAAGGGUACGGAAUUAGUGGUGAAAUCUCAUUGGAAUGCCUCUCAUGUGCCCACUGUUACUCGAGGCCACAGAGGAGAUACAAUAGACACACAAUCACAAGGAACAGUGAACCUUUGCCGAGGGCUUGCUUUGGCCAAGCAUGUGCUAAGCUCAUUACUCACAUUGGCGUGUCUGAGUCUCAGCACCACCCAGGGGGCAGGUAGGUACAAACAUCAAGGCAACUUGUAACAGGUCAAUUUUGUAAUGUGCCCAGAGUCCUCCAGAGAGGGAAUGGUGGAGCUGGGAGUCCUUCUUCUAUGUGCCUCACUGCUAUUCUCUGUGGUCCUUUAGGA
Molecule: long non-coding RNA, 1220 nt
Organism: Ailuropoda melanoleuca (giant panda)
Lineage: Eukaryota; Metazoa; Chordata; Mammalia; Carnivora; Ursidae
Exons: 3
Source: RefSeq, a predicted model, not a curated record